UGAGGAAUAUUGGACAAUGGAUGGAAAUCUGAUCCAGCCAUGCCGCGUGCAGGAAGACGGCCCUAUGGGUUGUAAACUGCUUUUGUAUGGGAGCAAUAAGGACUACGUGUAGUUUGAUGAGAGUACCAUACGAAUAAGCAUCGGCUAACUCCGUGCCAGCAGCCGCGGUAAUACGGAGGAUGCGAGCGUUAUCCGGAUUUAUUGGGUUUAAAGGGUGCGUAGGCGGCGAUAUAAGUCAGUGGUGAAAUAUUUCGGCUUAACCGAGAGACUGCCAUUGAUACUGUGUUGCUAGAAUAUGGUUGCUGUGAGUGGAAUGUGUGGUGUAGCGGUGAAAUGCUUAGAUAUCACACAGAAUAUCGAUUGCGAAGGCAGCUCACAAAGCCAUUAUUGACGCCGAGGCACGAAAGUGUGGGGAUCAAACG
RNAcentral lists this ribosomal RNA (422 nucleotides) under uncultured bacterium. RNAcentral describes it as "bacterial SSU rRNA". It matches the Rfam family "Bacterial small subunit ribosomal RNA", at positions 355 to 774 of the family's 1533-position model. The record is from RNAcentral.